RNAcentral lists this long non-coding RNA (201 nucleotides) under Elaeis guineensis (African oil palm). RNAcentral describes it as "long non-coding RNA (EGUI_LNC009958)". Lineage: Eukaryota; Viridiplantae; Streptophyta; Magnoliopsida; Arecales; Arecaceae. The record is from RNAcentral.
CCAUCUGUUGGAUGAUUAAAUUGAAUUUUGACCCCUUGUACCCAUCCCUUCUACCUCAAGUCUAAACCAACACAGAGGAGUAUAUUUCAAUAUACUCCUUCGAUUCUCGAAUAGAUUAUUCCUACACAUCCCAUUCGAUGAUACAGAUGCAUCUACACCUCCAUCCCAUCCAUAAAAUAAGAAGAAUGACUUUUGACCCCU